CAAUAGCGUAUAUUAAAGCUGUUGCGGUUAAAAAGCACGUAGUUGGAUUUCUGUCAAGGACAACUGGUCCGCCCUCCGGGUGAGCACAUAGUUUGGUCUUGACAUCUUGCUGGAAGCUGUUGCUGCACUUGGCUGUGUGGCGCAGUGUUCAGCACUUUCACUUUGAGGAAAUUGGAGUGUUUCAAGCAGGCACAUGCCUUUGGACACAGUAGCAUGGAAUAAUUAGAUUGGGCUUUUGCUCCAAUUUGUCGGUUUCUGGAGCUGAGGUGAGUAUUAAUGGGGAUUGUUGGGGGCAUCCGAAUUUAGCCGUCAGAGGUGAAAUUCUUGGAUCUGCUAAAGACGGACAACUGCGAAAGCGUUUGCCCAGGAUGUUUUCAUUGA
Molecule: ribosomal RNA, 381 nt
Filed under: uncultured eukaryote
Lineage: Eukaryota
Description: partial 18S ribosomal RNA
Rfam family: Eukaryotic small subunit ribosomal RNA
Source: RNAcentral